This 493-nucleotide ribosomal RNA is filed under the name uncultured bacterium. RNAcentral's name for it is "partial 16S ribosomal RNA". It matches the Rfam family "Bacterial small subunit ribosomal RNA", at positions 29 to 507 of the family's 1533-position model. The record is from RNAcentral.
AGUGAACGCUGGCGGUAGGCCUAACACAUGCAAGUCGAACGGCAGCACAGUAAGAGCUUGCUCUUACGGGUGGCGAGUGGCGGACGGGUGAGGAAUACAUCGGAAUCUACUUUUUCGUGGGGGAUAACGUAGGGAAACUUACGCUAAUACCGCAUACGACCUACGGGUGAAAGCAGGGGAUCUUCGGACCUUGCGCGAUUGAAUGAGCCGAUGUCGGAUUAGCUAGUUGGCGGGGUAAAGGCCCACCAAGGCGACGAUCCGUAGCUGGUCUGAGAGGAUGAUCAGCCACACUGGGACUGAGACACGGUCCAGACUCCUACGGGAGGCAGCAGUGGGGAAUAUUGGACAAUGGGCGCAAGCCUGAUCCAGCCAUACCGCGUGGGUGAAGAAGGCCUUCGGGUUGUAAAGCCCGUUUUGUUGGGAAAGAAAAGCAGCAGGUUAAUACCCCGCUGUUCUGACGGUACCCAAAGAAUAAGCACCGGCUAACUUCGUG